GCUGGGCGUGGUGACCCACGCCUGUCAUCCCAGAAGCUUGGGAGGCUGAGGCAGGACGAUUGCAGGUUCAAAGCCAGCCUCAG
RNAcentral lists this small RNA (83 nucleotides) under Marmota monax (woodchuck). The record is from RNAcentral. Lineage: Eukaryota; Metazoa; Chordata; Mammalia; Rodentia; Sciuridae.